Molecule: transfer RNA, 64 nt
Filed under: Eurhadina cuii
Lineage: Eukaryota; Metazoa; Arthropoda; Insecta; Hemiptera; Cicadellidae
Description: tRNA-His
Source: RNAcentral
ACUAAAAUAGUUUAAAUUAAAAUAAAGAAUUGUGGGUUCUUGGAACCUUCAACAGGUUUUAGUU